UAGAGUUUGAUCAUGGCUCAGGAUUAACGCUGGCGGUAUGCCUAAUACAUGCAAGUCGAACGAACUUUUUAGAGUUUAGAUUUUAGAUAUUGGAAUCUAGUGAUUUAUUUACUAACUUCCAGCUUCUAACCUCUAAUAUCUAAAUCGUUAGUGGCGGACGGGUGAGUAACACGUUGGAACCUGCCCCAAAGUAAGGGAUAAGCCACCGAAAGGUGGUCUAAUACCUUAUAGUAUCCAUCUCGUAUGGAUUAAAGCUUUAUGCGCUUUGGGAGGGGCCUGCGUUUGAUUAGCUAGUUGGUGAGGUAAAAGCUCACCAAGGCGACGAUCAAUAGCUGGUUUGAGAGGAUGACCAGCCACACUGGGACUGAGAUACGGCCCAGACUCCUACGGGAGGCAGCAGUAAGGAAUCUUCCACAAUGGGGGCAACCCUGAUGGAGCAAUACCGCGUGCAGGAUGAAGCGUUUCGGCGUGUAAACUGCUUUUAUCACCGAAGAUUAUGACUGUAGGUGAAGAAUAAGGACACAGCGAACUACGUGCCAGCAGCCGCGGUAAUA
RNAcentral lists this ribosomal RNA (554 nucleotides) under uncultured bacterium. RNAcentral describes it as "bacterial SSU rRNA". It matches the Rfam family "Bacterial small subunit ribosomal RNA", at positions 1 to 525 of the family's 1533-position model. The record is from RNAcentral.